This 305-nucleotide ribosomal RNA is filed under the name Symbiodinium sp. clade D. RNAcentral's name for it is "partial Bacterial small subunit ribosomal RNA". It matches the Rfam family "Bacterial small subunit ribosomal RNA", at positions 746 to 1081 of the family's 1533-position model. The record is from RNAcentral. Lineage: Eukaryota; Dinophyceae; Suessiales; Symbiodiniaceae.
UUUAUUCACGAAAACUUGAGGUGUGAGAGGGAUUAGAUACCCCAUUAAUUCAAGUGAUAAAUUAUGGCUUAUUGUAGAUUGGAUCUAUUUUUAACAUGUGAUCUUUAUCAACUUAAGGAGGAGGCUUUCAUUUUGGAAACUUAAAUGUUCUGGUGGUGAUUUUGAACAAUAGUGGAAUAGAUGAUUUAAUUCGAUCUUAUGCGAUAAAGCUUAUCUGUUAGUGACUUGAAUACCUCUGAUUUGGUAGAAUUCUAUCCAUUGGUAGUGCAUGGCUGCUCUCAGCUAAUGUUUUGUAAUAUCUGCUU